AUUCAGGAAUAUGACAAAAGGAGAUUUGAACACGAACAGUAUCCGCUGAUGAGAGCAGGUUCACACUGACCACGUGUGACAGACCUGAAAGAAUCUGGAGCUGUGGUGAACGUCGUGCUGCCUGCAACAUCAUCCAGCAUGACUGGUUUGGUGGGACUGUUCUCUGUAAACCCUAGAGAUGUUUGUGCAGGAAAAUAGACCAGCACUUAAUGCAGUAGAUCCAUCACGUCUCCCACUGUACCAGCUUCCUCUUCUGGCCCGUUGCAGCUCCAGCAUUUGUCAUCACCGGUCUGCUAGCUGCCACCGCCCCCUUUUCCAUUAUCCAAC
This is a long non-coding RNA of Esox lucius (northern pike), 327 nucleotides long. NCBI's taxonomy places the organism in Eukaryota, Metazoa, Chordata, Actinopteri, Esociformes, Esocidae. The record is from Ensembl.